Molecule: long non-coding RNA, 2768 nt
Organism: Pongo pygmaeus (Bornean orangutan)
Lineage: Eukaryota; Metazoa; Chordata; Mammalia; Primates; Hominidae
Exons: 6
Source: RefSeq, a predicted model, not a curated record
AUGCAAAGUUGGUGUGUGCUUAUUCUGCAGGCUGUCUGCACGUGGACCUAAGGACAAGGACUGGGAGCAGGGCUGGGUUUCAGGAAACCAUCAGGAUUCCUGGCUCCUCCAGCCAUCAGGAAACCUGGCAAAGGAGGCCUGCUCCAGGGAAAGGCAAGGCGUCUGGGCUUUGGUGUCAGACAGACCUGGGCUUGAUCUCAGUCUUGUUCUUUUAAAUAUGCGUGCCAUUGGGCAAUCCCUUUGAUCCUCAAUAACAAGUCAUUAUGCUAAUCAGCUGAGCCACUGGUGUUGAUCAGCACUAACGACAAACGAAACCCUUGUCCUCGUGGCUUCUGGAGCCAGUGAAGAUGACACUGCAGUGAAAAUGGCAGCUGGCCACCCCUGGACUGUGAAUUCUAGGAGAGGCAACUGACUACGCUGGAGUCAUAGCAAAAAAUCAAGAACACACGUUUAUAUCACAUCAUCUUCUCUGAAGCAUUCUCAGCUUCACUUUGGACAUCGUGGUGAAAAAGUGUGCUGACCCCUGGUGUAGAGACCAAGCAGAUACAAGCAGCCAGAAGCAGAAAGAAGAGUGAAGUCAAAACGCACACAGAAAAUGAGAGAGAGAGGAGGAGUCCCCCAAAAUACGUGAGGUGGGAAGGCUGCAGUUCCCAAAAAUAUUUCCAUUUGUCAUCCUUCACCAUGACAAAACUCCACCAUCAGUGGCUUAUUCCUUAGGGACAAGCAUUGCUUUCACAAAUAUUCCUCUGAGAAGAGUUUUUCACCUUGAUUUAUACCCUGAGUAUGGAGUAGCUGAAGAGAUCAUUCUGGAGGCAGACAGGGCUGCUGAAGAUUUCCAAAAGCCAGGACGGAGGGAGAGUUUCUCAAUCUGCCAGUUGCGGCUGAGAACACCAGUGUUGCCUGCCUUGGAAGAUUGUUGGAAGGACUGAACAAGGACUUGCCUCUCCAGAGGUGGGCGAGUGUGGGGGUUUACUGUCUUUCUUCUGGCUUCAUGGGCUUCAGGUUCCUAAGAGAGAGUCCAAGAUGUCUUCCUGGAGGAAGAGCACCAACGCCAAGACUGAGAGAGAAGUUGGAGUUAGGCUGCUGGAGGGAAGGAGUGCCCAACUGAGAACUUCAUUUUGUCAAGGCAAUUUUCAAUCUGAUCCGCAUCGAUUGUGCACCUCCGGGGAGCUAGGUCUCACGCUGGGUGCUGAGGGACAAAGAUGCAAGUUGGAGUCUGAGUCCUGCUGCCACUGAGCUCUCGGGACAGCUGGGAGAUGGGCCAUGGACAAUCCACAUCCACGGGCUUCCCAGCUGCACUGUCACCUAUGCAAGAACGGGGCCCAGGUCUUCCACCUGCUCUGCUUCCCCGACAGCAGGCAGCUUGAACACUGCUAGAUAUGCAUGCGCUCUUCUGGGUUCUGCCCUCUAUGGCAGAGGACAUUGUUCUUACAAGACCUCAGCACAGAAACGUUUGCUUCGGAGAAGGUGGCAGGUCUACAGAGCGAUGGUGUGCUGGUAAGCUUUAACAAUGGGCUCUCAGGAAACAAAACAGAAGCCUCAAUUUGCAGCAUCUGCUGAUUUCUGUGGUGUAAACACUCCCACCGUUGCCUGUGCAAGGUACUAAUAUGAGGUCAUAGGAUUGGGUAUGUGCCAUCUGUGAGCAGGCUCCAGCACACCAGUGAGCCUUAGGCCUGUUUCUUCUUGUGGGGCCAGGGAGGCAUGCUCUCGGGCAGAAACUGGCCUUGCUUCCUGAGUGGUUUAAUGCUGGAAACCCUCUUAAUUGCUUCCUGUAAGGAAAGCCCUGGACGUCAACCCCUGGGCUGGCCCUGGAGCGCAUGCUGGGGCUGGUGGGUGCCCGCAGAGACGUCUGCUGCAGGAUGAGGAACAUCGAAUCCUGGGAUCAGACACAGGAACUCAGAGGCAUCUCCCUGGGUGGAUUUGAAAGAGUGGAGAGGGAUGGAGAGAGAGGAGGGUGGGAAGGAGGGGGAAAGGAGACAAAAGGGUAUGGAAGGAGAGGAGAAGAGAAACACACAAGGAGGAGGCUGGGGUAAAGGAGCAGAGUGAUGAGGAGGAAAACAGGAAGAAGAAAGGAGGAGCACAGGAAGGGAUCAGAAAGGGGAAAGAGGAAAAACAAGGGCAGAAGGAAGGAAGGACAGAAGAGAAAGCAGAUGUGCCAUUCACUGCUUGUAAGCUGUGCAAGGCUCCGCUGCGUCAGGUCACUGAACCCAAGGAGGGAGGGAAGGAGCCUACCUUUCAGCCAAGAGAAGCCUGAGGUUGGCAGAGGCCAAGGUCAAAAGCGGCUGAGGAGCCGGGAUUUUUGAACCCAGGCUGCAGGGCCUCUUCCACUGACUUCCUUCAGUUGGUUCUGACUGUAUUUGCUGGGGGCCAGCCCAUUAGUCUCAACCUUCCACUCAGGGCAGCUGCCUCCCGUUGCCAGCUUGAGCAACCAACCCUGUGCUGGGCAUGAGGGCAAGCCCCUGUGGAACACAUCUGGGUGCCCACCCUCUGCACCCUCACCACCUGUUCCAGGCUCCUUUCUUCCUCCUGCCUCUGAGGGGUGUGGGGCUUUCUGGAGGACUUCAGUUCCAGGGGAUGCCUCUGUAAAAGCCCUGUGCUCAACCGGCCAGAAAGGAUUGACUCAGACCAGGAAAUAAGAGCAGCACGAUGACCUUUUGCCAUUCUUUUACAUCGCUCUUUGCCUUUUAAAACACACUUGUAAGAAGCCCGUGGGGUUAAAAUAGCUGUUCAUUCCUGUUCAAGAUGUGCUUGGAAGGCUGCGACGGGCA